Molecule: long non-coding RNA, 1013 nt
Organism: Brassica napus (rape)
Lineage: Eukaryota; Viridiplantae; Streptophyta; Magnoliopsida; Brassicales; Brassicaceae
Exons: 2
Source: RefSeq, a predicted model, not a curated record
GUGGGCUGGGCUUUAUUGCAUCGUGGUAUGCUUUAUUUUUUUUCUCAUUUGUAUCGACCCGAGUAAGACGGAAGUGACGAGGAUCUUUACCUUUUCAUCUUCUCCGCUUGAAACCCUACUGAUAGAGUUCUAAUGAAUCCCCUUCUUCACAAUCAAAACUCCACUUUACUUUGAUCCAUUUCAUGAAGACAUGUAUGAAAAUAGUAUCUAAUGACAUGGAGGAGGAUCCGGCCAUGGUGGUGGAUUUGGAGCGGGAGGAGGAUUCGGUGGUGUUGGAGGAGUUGGUGGUGGAGGUGGUGGCGGCAGAGGAGGUGGUGCUGGUGGUGGAUCUGGUCAUGGUGGUGGUUUUAGAGUUGGAGGGGUAGUUGGUGGUAGAGCGGGAGGAGGUGUUGGGGGAGGCGGUGGACUAGGUGGUGGUGGAGGAGGUGGUGUGGGCGGUGGAUAUGGACAUGGUGGUGGAUUUGGUGCUGGUGGAGGUCAUGGGAUAGGACAUGGCGGAGGAGGAGGCUUUGGGAUUGGAAUAGGAAUCGGUGUUGGGGUUGGUGGAGGCUCAAGGUUCUGGCAACGGAAGCGGUAGUAGCGGUGGCGGAAACCGUUAAUCAGAGCUCAUAUUAACACACUCGUGAUUUAGUGCACUCGACAGUUCAACUACUAGGACGUACUUGUGAUUCUACUUUACACAGUAGCUACCAUUGAAUACAUUGAAGCAUAUCAAUUACAAGUGAGAGGAAACAAGCUUUCUAUGAAGAAACUAAAAGAUACCCAACGCAUGUUCAUCCUUGAAGACCUAUUAAACUGAAGUGGAGAUGUAUAAAGAAGAGAAUGAAAGGACAUGGUUGGAAAAAUUUCAUAAAUCAUACAUCAUAUUGGAGUAUUGGAUACAGCCUACUUAAAUAUCUUACUGUUGCAAUUCAGAAGAGAAUACCUUCGUUGUUAAUAAAUGUAAUCACAUUCUCAUAAGUUACUCAUCUGAACAAUAUUGACUUGCUGUUAGUGUUUUUAUUUUCAGCCAA